Molecule: ribosomal RNA, 238 nt
Filed under: uncultured bacterium
Lineage: Bacteria
Description: partial 16S ribosomal RNA
Rfam family: Bacterial small subunit ribosomal RNA
Source: RNAcentral
UGGCGGACGGGUGAGUAACGCGUGGGUAACCUUCCUUGUACUGGGGGACAACAGUUAGAAAUGACUGCUAAUACCGCAUGAGCGCACAGUAUCGCAUGAUACAGUGUGAAAAACUCCGGUGGUACAAGAUGGACCCGCGUCUGGUUAGCUAGUUGGUAAGGUAACGGCUUACCAAGGCGACGAUCAGUAGCCGACCUGAGAGGGUGACCGGCCACAUUGGGACUGAGACACGGCCCAA